UAGAGUUUGAUCCUGGCUCACAUUGAACGCUGGCGGAAUGCUUUACACAUGCAAGUCCAGCGGCAGCGCGGGGCAACCUGGCGGCGAGCGGCGAACGGGUGAGUAAUACAUCGGAACGUGCCCAGACGUGGGGGAUAACUACUCGAAAGAGUGGCUAAUACCGCAUACGAUCUGAGGAUGAAAGCGGGGGAUCGCAAGACCUCACGCGUCUGGAGCGGCCGAUGGCAGAUUAAGUAGUUGGUGAGGUAAAGGCUUACCAAGCCUGCGAUCUGUACCUGGUCUGAGAGGAUGAUCACCCACACUGGGG
Molecule: ribosomal RNA, 307 nt
Filed under: uncultured Comamonadaceae bacterium
Lineage: Bacteria; Pseudomonadati; Pseudomonadota; Betaproteobacteria; Burkholderiales; Comamonadaceae
Description: bacterial SSU rRNA
Rfam family: Bacterial small subunit ribosomal RNA
Source: RNAcentral